This 2125-nucleotide ribosomal RNA is filed under the name Pezizomycotina sp. ARF18. RNAcentral's name for it is "SSU rRNA". It matches the Rfam family "Eukaryotic small subunit ribosomal RNA". The record is from RNAcentral. Lineage: Eukaryota; Fungi; Ascomycota.
CUGGUUGAUCCUGCCAGUAGUCAUAUGCUUGUCUCAAAGAUUAAGCCAUGCAUGUCUAAGUAUAAGCAAUCUAUACAGUGAAACUGCGAAUGGCUCAUUAAAUCAGUUAUCGUUUAUUUGAUAGUACCUUACUACUUGGAUAACCGUGGUAAUUCUAGAGCUAAUACAUGCUAAAAACCCCGACCUCCGGAAGGGGUGUAUUUAUUAGAUAAAAAACCAAUGCCUUCGGGCUUGUUGGUGAUUCAUGAUAACUAAACGAAUCGCAUGGCCUUGCGCCGGCGAUGGUUCAUUCAAAUUUCUGCCCUAUCAACUUUCGAUGGUAGGAUAGUGGCCUACCAUGGUUUCAACGGGUAACGGGGAAUUAGGGUUCUAUUCCGGAGAGGGAGCCUGAGAAACGGCUACCACAUCCAAGGAAGGCAGCAGGCGCGCAAAUUACCCAAUCCCGACUCGGGGAGGUAGUGACAAUAAAUACUGAUACAGGGCUCUUUUGGGUCUUGUAAUUGGAAUGAGUACAAUUUAAAUCCCUUAACGAGGAACAAUUGGAGGGCAAGUCUGGUGCCAGCAGCCGCGGUAAUUCCAGCUCCAAUAGCGUAUAUUAAAGUUGUUGCAGUUAAAAAGCUCGUAGUUGAACCUUGGCCCUGGCUGGCCGGUCCGCCUAACCGCGUGCACUGGUUCGGCCGGGGCUUUCCUUCCGGCUAGCCUCAUGCCCUUCACUGGGUGUGCUGGGGAUCCGGGACUUUUACUUUGAAAAAAUUAGAGUGUUCAAAGCAGGCCUACGCUCGAAUACAUUAGCAUGGAAUAAUAGAAUAGGACGGCGGUUCUAUUUUGUUGGUUUCUAGAGCCACCGUAAUGAUUAAUAGGGAUAGUCGGGGGCAUCAGUAUUCAAUUGUCAGAGGUGAAAUUCUUGGAUUUAUUGAAGACUAACUACUGCGAAAGCAUUUGCCAAGGAUGUUUUCAUUAAUCAGUGAACGAAAGUUAGGGGAUCGAAGACGAUCAGAUACCGUCGUAGUCUUAACCAUAAACUAUGCCGACUAGGGAUCGGACGGUGUUCAAUUUAUGACCCGUUCGGCACCUUACGAGAAAUCAAAGUCUUUGGGUUCUGGGGGAGUAUGGUCGCAAGGCUGAAACUUAAAGGAAUUGACGGAAGGGCACCACCAGGAGUAAAAAACAACAGCCGCCAGGCUCUGCUCCUAAAAGCCGCCAGCGGUGGUGCCCCUACAGUGGCUAGUCGGCUGUCCUUUUGCCGGCGACACGCUCAGAUUGCGGGGAGACCCUAAAGCCCGAGGCACCAAGCCGGCACCGAAAGGCGCCGGCCGCGGUAACAGUUCCUCCGGGAUGUAACAAUGGGAAAUCCGCAGCCAAACCCCUAAACCGCCGGUCGGGCGGCACGGGGAAGGUUCAGAGACUACAUGGGUGUGGACGGGCGACCUUGCCCGCCUAAGGUAUAGUCCGCCUGAGGCACCGAGAGGUGCCACGGACUCAAUAGCAGUCCCGAACAAACCGGGAGCCUGCGGCUUAAUUUGACUCAACACGGGGAAACUCACCAGGUCCAGACACAUUAAGGAUUGACAGAUUGAGAGCUCUUUCUUGAUUAUGUGGGUGGUGGUGCAUGGCCGUUCUUAGUUGGUGGAGUGAUUUGUCUGCUUAAUUGCGAUAACGAACGAGACCUUAACCUGCUAAAUAGCCAGGCGAGCUUUCGCUCGCGUUUGGCUUCUUAGAGGGACUAUCGGCUCAAGCCGAUGGAAGUUUGAGGCAAUAACAGGUCUGUGAUGCCCUUAGAUGUUCUGGGCCGCACGCGCGCUACACUGACGGGGCCAACGAGUAUCAUCCUUGGCCGAAAGGUCUGGGUAAUCUUGUUAAACCCCGUCGUGCUGGGGAUAGGGCAUUGCAAUUAUUGCCCUUCAACGAGGAAUUCCUAGUAAGCGCAAGUCAUCAGCUUGCGUUGAUUACGUCCCUGCCCUUUGUACACACCGCCCGUCGCUACUACCGAUUGAAUGGCUCAGUGAGGCCUUCGGAUUGGCUCAGGGAGGGGGCAACCCCCACCCAGAGCCGAGAAGUUGGUCAAACUUGGUCAUUUAGAGGAAGUAAAAGUCGUAACAAGGUUUCCGUAGAGAUCCUUCUGCAG